Molecule: ribosomal RNA, 584 nt
Filed under: uncultured bacterium
Lineage: Bacteria
Description: bacterial SSU rRNA
Rfam family: Bacterial small subunit ribosomal RNA
Source: RNAcentral
ACGGGUGAGUAAAGUAUCGGAACGUGCCCAGUAGAGGGGGAUAACUACGCGAAAGCGUAGCUAAUACCGCAUACGCCCUGAGGGGGAAAGCGGGGGGUCGCAAGACCUCGCGUUAUUGGAGCGACCGAUAUCGGAUUAGCUAGUUGGUAGGGUAAAGGCCUACCAAGGCGACGAUCCGUAGCUGGUUUGAGAGGACGACCAGCCACACUGGGACUGAGACACGGCCCAGACUCCUACGGGAGGCAGCAGUGGGGAAUUUUGGACAAUGGGGGCAACCCUGAUCCAGCCAUUUCGCGUGUGCGAUGAAGGCCUUCGGGUUGUAAAGCACUUUUGGCAGGGAAGAAAAGGUUUGGGCUAAUACCCUGAGCCGCUGACGGUACCUGCAGAAUAAGCACCGGCUAACUACGUGCCAGCAGCCGCGGUAAUACGUAGGGUGCAAGCGUUAAUCGGAAUUACUGGGCGUAAAGCGUGCGCAGGCGGUUCGGAAAGAAGGAUGUGAAAUCCCAGGGCUUAACCUUGGAACUGCAUUUUUAACUACCGGGCUAGAGUGUGUCAGAGGGAGGUGGAAUUCCGCGUGUAGCAGU